ACCUGUUCCCAUCCCGAACACAGAAGUGAAACGCAGCAUCGCCGAUGAUAGUGUGGGGUCUCCCCAUGUGAAAGUAGGUCAACGCCAGGC
RNAcentral lists this ribosomal RNA (90 nucleotides) under Halothiobacillus sp. 13-55-115. Lineage: Bacteria; Pseudomonadati; Pseudomonadota; Gammaproteobacteria; Chromatiales; Halothiobacillaceae. RNAcentral also lists the same sequence under 2 other names. The record is from RNAcentral.